This 67-nucleotide small nuclear RNA is filed under the name Canis lupus dingo (dingo). The record is from RNAcentral. Lineage: Eukaryota; Metazoa; Chordata; Mammalia; Carnivora; Canidae.
GAGUCUGAGUGAAGGGAGAGAAGGUUGGCACUUCCCUUGAUAAGAAUGGAAGAGGUCAGGGAUCCCU